CGAAGGGUGCAAGCGUUACUCGGAAUUACUGGGCGUAAAGCGUGCGUAGGUGGUUUGUUAAGUCUGAUGUGAAAGCCCUGGGCUCAACCUGGGAACUGCAUUGGAUACUGGCAGGCUUGAGUGCGGUAGAGGAUAGCGGAAUUCCCGGUGUAGCAGUGAAAUGCGUAGAUAUCGGGAGGAACAUCUGUGGCGAAGGCGGCUAUCUGGACCAGCACUGACACUGAGGCACGAAAGCGUGGGGAGCAAACAGGAUU
RNAcentral lists this ribosomal RNA (254 nucleotides) under uncultured bacterium. RNAcentral describes it as "partial 16S ribosomal RNA". It matches the Rfam family "Bacterial small subunit ribosomal RNA", at positions 526 to 779 of the family's 1533-position model. The record is from RNAcentral.